AAUAUUGGACAAUGGGCGAAAGCCUGAUCCAGCCAUGCCGCGUGUGUGAAGAAGGUCUUCGGAUUGUAAAGCACUUUAAGUUGGGAGGAAGGGGUUGAAGCUAAUACCUUCAAUCUUUGACGUUACCAACAGAAUAAGCACCGGCUAACUCUGUGCCAGCAGCCGCGGUAAUACAGAGGGUGCAAGCGUUAAUCGGAAUUACUGGGCGUAAACGGCGGGUGGUGGGUUACGUAAAAUGAAAGGGAAAUCCCGGGCUUAACCUGGGAACUGCUUUCAUAACUGCUGAGCUAGAGUACGGUAGAGGGUAGUGGAAUUUCCUGUGUAGCGGUGAAAUGCGUAGAUAUAGGAAGGAACACCAGUGGCGAAGGCGACUACCUGGACUGAUACUGACACUGAGGUGCGAAAGCGUGGGGAGCAAACA
RNAcentral lists this ribosomal RNA (421 nucleotides) under uncultured bacterium. RNAcentral describes it as "partial 16S ribosomal RNA". It matches the Rfam family "Bacterial small subunit ribosomal RNA", at positions 360 to 774 of the family's 1533-position model. The record is from RNAcentral.